Molecule: ribosomal RNA, 641 nt
Filed under: Bacillus sp. N33621UB01_16S_27f
Lineage: Bacteria; Bacillati; Bacillota; Bacilli; Caryophanales; Bacillaceae
Description: bacterial SSU rRNA
Rfam family: Bacterial small subunit ribosomal RNA
Source: RNAcentral
UGCNAUACAUGCAAGUCGAGCGGACCGACGGNNGCUUGCUCCCUUAGGUCAGCGGCGGACGGGCNNAGUAACACGUGGGUAACCUGCCUGUAAGACUGGGAUAACUCCGGGAAACCGGGGCUAAUACCGGAUGCUUGAUUGAACCGCAUGGUUCAAUCAUAAAAGGUGGCUUUUAGCUACCACUUACAGAUGGACCCGCGGCGCAUUAGCUAGUUGGUGAGGUAACGGCUCACCAAGGCGACGAUGCGUAGCCGACCUGAGAGGGUGAUCGGCCACACUGGGACUGAGACACGGCCCAGACUCCUACGGGAGGCAGCAGUAGGGAAUCUUCCGCAAUGGACGAAAGUCUGACGGAGCAACGCCGCGUGAGUGAUGAAGGUUUUCGGAUCGUAAAACUCUGUUGUUAGGGAAGAACAAGUACCGUUCGAAUAGGGCGGNACCUUGACGGUACCUAACCAGAAAGCCACGGCUAACUACGUGCCAGCAGCCGCGGUAAUACGUAGGUGGCAAGCGUUGUCCGGAAUUAUUGGGCGUAAAGCGCGCGCAGGCGGUUUCUUAAGUCUGAUGUGAAAGCCCCCGGCUCAACCGGGGAGGGUCAUUGGAAACUGGGGAACUUGAGUGCAGAAAANGAGAGUGNAAUU